GGGNGGCUUGCUAUAAUGCAAGUCGAGCGGACAGAUGGGAGCUUGCUCCCUGAUGUUACCGGCGGACGGGUGAGUAACACGUGGGUAACCUGCCUGUAAGACUGGGAUAACUCCGGGAAACCGGGGCUAAUACCGGAUGGUUGUUUGAACCGCAUGGUUCAGACAUAAAAGGUGGCUUCGGCUACCACUUACAGAUGGACCCGCGGCGCAUUAGCUAGUUGGUGAGGUAACGGCUCACCAAGGCGACGAUGCGUAGCCGACCUGAGAGGGUGAUCGGCCACACUGGGACUGAGACACGGCCCAGACUCCUACGGGAGGCAGCAGUAGGGAAUCUUCCGCAAUGGACGAAAGUCUGACGGAGCAACGCCGCGUGAGUGAUGAAGGUUUUCGGAUCGUAAAGCUCUGUUGUUAGGGAAGAACAAGUGCCGUUCAAAUAGGGCGGCACCUUGACGGUACCUAACCAGAAAGCCACGGCUAACUACGUGCCAGCAGCCGCGGUAAUACGUAGGUGGCAAGCGUUGUCCGGAAUUAUUGGGCGUAAAGGGCUCGCAGGCGGUUUCUUAAGUCUGAUGUGAAAGCCCCCGGCUCAACCCGGGGAGGGUCAUUGGAAACUGGGGAACUUGAGUGCAGAAGAGGAGAGUGGAAUUCCACGUGUAGCGGUGAAAUGCGUAGAGAUGUGGAGGAACACCAGUGGCGAAGGCGACUCUCUGGUCUGUAACUGACGCUGAGGAGCGAAAGCGUGGGGAGCGAACAGGAUUAGAUACCCUGGUAGUCCACGCCGUAAACGAUGAGUGCUAAGUGUUAGGGGGUUUCCGCCCCUUAGUGCUGCAGCUAACGCAUUAAGCACUCCGCCUGGGGAGUACGGUCGCAAGACUGAAACUCAAAGGAAUUGACGGGGGCCCGCACAAGCGGUGGAGCAUGUGGUUUAAUUCGAAGCAACGCGAAGAACCUUACCAGGUCUUGACAUCCUCUGACAAUCCUAGAGAUAGGACGUCCCCUUCGGGGGCAGAGUGACAGGUGGUGCAUGGUUGUCGUCAGCUCGUGUCGUGAGAUGUUGGGUUAAGUCCCGCAACGAGCGCAACCCUUGAUCUUAGUUGCCAGCAUUC
RNAcentral lists this ribosomal RNA (1106 nucleotides) under Bacillus sp. (in: firmicutes). RNAcentral describes it as "bacterial SSU rRNA". It matches the Rfam family "Bacterial small subunit ribosomal RNA", at positions 37 to 1126 of the family's 1533-position model. The record is from RNAcentral. Lineage: Bacteria; Bacillati; Bacillota; Bacilli; Caryophanales; Bacillaceae.